Molecule: long non-coding RNA, 1909 nt
Organism: Scomber scombrus (Atlantic mackerel)
Lineage: Eukaryota; Metazoa; Chordata; Actinopteri; Scombriformes; Scombridae
Exons: 5
Source: RefSeq, a predicted model, not a curated record
CCCAGUUUCUCUGUUUAGGUGCUCCGACUGAGUGACUGGCAGAUGUAGCUCAUGCGGGUGGAGCAGUGCCCGUCGUUGAGGCGUCCGCUCGUGUGCAGAGGACCGGAACUCCCCGCCUGGUUAACACACACUGGGAACACUGGGAACACUGUGCUGAGAUCAGGCCGGCUGUCUCACCCAUUCCUUGCUAGAGAGGAAGAUGACCAGGUGAGCUCCAUGUUGGUCACACCAGUUUCUGGAUUCGUUCCAGGAAAGGUAAUCGCUGCUGAAGUAAUAACAGUUGGACUCCGACCGAUCCCAACCCAGAGGACAACAGCCACCAGCUGCUGAGCCUGAGAGACAGACAGGAUGACUGCAGCCGUCAGACCAGGAAACAACCAGCGUCUGUACCUGGAGAUGCCUGAGAGGAGGACAAGCAGAGUCUCUAACAGGCAGACCGGUGGAGACACUGUUCAGGACCCAUGAUGGUGUAAAGGUUGAAGCAGCCAUCUGUGUGUGUUCGACCAAUCAGAGGUCUUCCCUUCCACCACCUCCACCUUCCUCCAGCAAGGACUUUUUGGAGCUUCAUAAUUUAGAUAACUACAUCAGACCUCAUUGGAAGAAGUCACUCACAGCAAAUGACAGGAGAAAAAAGGUUCCUCACCUCGUUAAAGCGUCUGAAACAGUCCAGCAGGACAGAAGAUGAAACAACACGAUGUAUCCUGAGCUGAAGAUUCGUCCAACGUCGGCAGAAAUAAGAAGGUUUCUUAUGCAGGUUUCACAUUUGCAAAUUUCCAGCUCAGUUCCGCCCUUUAAUCAACAAACUGUCCGGUCAUCAUUUCGGAAAUUGAUCUGGAUCUGGCCCAAACGUUUCAUAACAUUUUUCACAGCUGCAGGUCUCUGCUGAGGAGUCUGAUUGGUUCUGUCUCCAGUGAUUCACACUACUUCCCUUUUUAUUGUAGCAGUUUUUCGCAAUAGAAAACCAUCCUCAGUCAACACUUCCUCUAAAUGAACUUACAUGUACAGCAAAUUCAAAACAUACUCCACGGGAAUCAUUCAUUAAGUUUUAUAACUAAGUUGCCGAACAGAGACUCUUACCCUUCUACUUUUGUCGUAAUAAAUCUUUAAACUCAUAUCUAAGUUGGCGUGGUCUUUGUUAGUGAAGAGUUUAAUAAAGCAUUGAUUGAUCAGUGUAUAACAUAUUCAGAUGACUAUUUUUUUUAUCUUCAACAGUCACCUGGAUGUUAACAGCAAGAUGUUGGAGAUCUUCUACCAGUCUGUUGUUGCCAGCGCCAUUUUCUUUGCUGUUGUGUGUUGGGGCAGCAGCAUCAGAGCCAGCGACACCAACAGACUUGAUAAGAUCAUCAAGAAGGCUGGCUCUGUACUGGGUCUCAGGCAGGAGUCUUUGGAGACCGUGGUGGAGAGGAGGACACUGAAUAAACUGUUCUCCAUCAUGGACAAUGACCAGCACCCUCUCCAUCAUGGACAAUGACCAGCACCCUCUCCAUCAUGGACAAUGACCAGCACCCUCUCCAUCAUGGACAAUGACCAGCACCCUCUCCAUCAUGGACAAUGACCAGCACCCUCUCCAUCACACAGGCUGCUCCAGCUCCGCUGUCGAAGGGACAGAUACAGGAAGUCUUUCCUGCCUCAUGCCAUCACACUGCAUAAUAACAGCUAAAAACUUUGCACUAAAAUCAACACUGCCAAUCUGUUGUAUAUACUUUUGUACAUUACAUUUUAUUUUAUUUACUAUUGCUAUUUUGCUAUUUUAUUAUGUAUGUAUGUUUUAAAAUAUUCUUAUUCUUUAUAUCAUUAUACUAUAUGUUGUUAUCGUCACUGUAUCGUCACUAUGUGUCUGUGUAAUGCUGCUGCUACACUGUAAUUUCCCAGCUUGGAAUAUAAAGUAAUAAAGUAUAAGUAUAAGUAA